UCUACAUGUAACACAACAGGAGAAGUGAAGGAAUUCCUUGACCUGUGAAGGAUUUCUUUGACCUCUGGCCCGCUCUGUGUUUGGGAGUCACAGGUCUGUGCAGAGAUCAACAGGUUUACAAACCAGGACAUGCCAAAUACCUUUUAAGCUAAACUUGACCGCCACACUCCCCGUUUCCUGACCUUGUGUAGACAGAGGGCAUUAUGGACUGGAAUUACGGUAGAGGGAUUGACUAACAUCCUGAGAAUGUAUGGUCUAAAUGAACAAGUUGAAGUCAACACUAGACAAACCACUGUCCUCCGCGACAUUCCUUCAUUUCUGCUUGACGAGGCCUCAGGAAUUUUCAAGACAUGCAGGCUGCAGGAUUCAGAUUAAGCAGAUGUGGGAGAUGCAGCGGCAGCCAUCCUCAGUCACCAGAGACAUCAGGCUAUCCGGAAGGCCAAAGUUAGCUACUUUAAGGAGCAGUUCUCUCUCUUUGGGUCUAACCG
This is a long non-coding RNA of Oncorhynchus tshawytscha (Chinook salmon), 488 nucleotides long. RefSeq lists it as uncharacterized. The transcript has 4 exons. Lineage: Eukaryota; Metazoa; Chordata; Actinopteri; Salmoniformes; Salmonidae. The record is from RefSeq and is a predicted model, not a curated record.